RNAcentral lists this microRNA precursor (83 nucleotides) under Myotis lucifugus (little brown bat). RNAcentral describes it as "miRNA (ENSMLUG00000029809.1)". Lineage: Eukaryota; Metazoa; Chordata; Mammalia; Chiroptera; Vespertilionidae. The record is from RNAcentral.
CUGGCAUGUAGCAGAUACUCAAUAAGUAUUUGUUGAAUGAAUGAAACAAAUCUCAAUUCUAGUAGCCAGAGAAAGUUGUUAUG